AGCCAUAACCCACGAAAACCAUGUCUCUCUACUUCUACUUUCCUUUGGCUUCUUCUCUCGCUUUGGCUCUGGAAACGCCUUAUCACAUGGUACUUGAAUUUGCAUUCCACACAAUCCACUGUUAUUAGCAUAAGAAUUUGGAUUGUUCAUCCUGUCCAUUUGAGGGCCACUUGGAAUGGAACCCGUGAGCUUGUUGUUGCUCAA
RNAcentral lists this unclassified non-coding RNA (204 nucleotides) under Hevea brasiliensis (rubber tree). Lineage: Eukaryota; Viridiplantae; Streptophyta; Magnoliopsida; Malpighiales; Euphorbiaceae. The record is from RNAcentral.